CCCAUCUCUGUUUCUACCAUUAUGUGAGCCCCAUCCCACCCCAUCCCUGUUUCUACCAUUAGGUUAGCCCCAUCCCAUAUAUGUUUCUACCAUUAGGUUAGCCCCAUCCCAUAUAUGUUUCUACCAUUAGGUUAGCCCCAUCCCAUAUCUGUUUCUACCAUUAGGUUAGCCCCAUCCCACCCAUCCCUGUUUCUACCAUAAGGUUAGCCCCAUCCCAUAUCUGUUUCUACCAUUAGGUUAGCCCCAUCCCAUAUCUGUUGUUACUAUUAGGUUAGCCCCAUCCCACCCCAUCCCUGUUUCUACCAUAAGGUUAGCCCCAUCCCAUAUCUGUUUCUACCAUUAGGUUAGCCCCAUCCCAUAUCUGUUUUUACCAUUGGGUUAGCUCCAUCCCAC
This is a long non-coding RNA of Oncorhynchus tshawytscha (Chinook salmon), 393 nucleotides long. NCBI's taxonomy places the organism in Eukaryota, Metazoa, Chordata, Actinopteri, Salmoniformes, Salmonidae. The record is from Ensembl.